UGUACAUUGGUAAUCUAGUUUGAAGUGUGAGUGGUUGCAGGCAAGCUAUUGUAAAAUGGCUAACAAGCAUUUUCUUCUAUCUUGUUAAGGCAUGUAGGAAAGGUCUCCUGAAAUUACAGCACUAUGCAAAUUGAUUUCAGCAUCAUGGAGAGUUAAAUGGAAGGAAAAUAAAAGUGUUUGACACUAACAAGGAAAGGAACAUCUUGGUUACAGCUUGAAGAAUGGUGGAAGUUUCAUUAGAAAUUUGAAGGUCAUAAUAAAGCCAUGAUUAUCAACAGAUGAAGUAAGAUAAAGAUCAAGCUUAUCAAAGCAGAUAGAACUGGAGAAUUUGACCCUGUGUGCAAUAGCAUUGUCAGUGUUUGCUUCUUGGAAAAGAAAACUACCCAGAGUCUCUUCUUUGCUGAUUGCAAGGACCGGUGCAUCAGGGAGAACAUGACUUGAUUGAAUUGAAGAUUUUUAUAUUCCAAACCAUAAGGCUGUUAACAUACAUUAUCAGGAAUUACGCUAAUCAAUUGUUUAAUAAAAAAAGGUUUUUAUUUAUUUGAAAUAUAACUUUCUCAGGAAUACUUUUCUCCUUACUCAAGGAUUCCCAACAUAAAGGAACAGAAAAGCAUUAGUGCAACAUGCAAAAAUGGUGCUAAAAAACACAAAUCACUUUUACAUAAUGUGACUGGUGAAAAAGGCUUAAAUUAAUAGUGUGAAAACAUUUGCUGUGACAAUCCAGCCUAAAAUUCUGAGCUACUAUUAUCUGACAUGAACUUUCCAGUGCUUGUGCAGGGCUUCCAAUAGGAUGAGCUAUAAUCUUAGACAAAGAUUAUGAUUGAUACCAACCUCCAAAUCCAGGUCUCAUUGUGAAGUCAUGAUCAUCCACUCUGAGAAGUUGCUCAGAUUUUGUUAAAUAAGAUUUUGUUACAUCAGCACUCCUCUUUAGAAUAGGGCUGUAAGACAAGAUAUGAUUUGAUGAAGAAAUUCAGCAAUGAAGAAAAUUCUGUCAGCCUAUCCAUGUCUCUUCCUCUCCAGCACAUUUAGGCAACUUGGUGAGCAUUGAUGGGUUAGGCCAAAGCGUUAGCAUUUGUGCUGUACUGUUCUAUGAUUGUACAACUAUCUCCAUUGAGCCAGCUACUCACCAAGUAUCAGAUCACAUUUCUAUUUGCAGGGAUUGCUAUGGACACUAGAUUUGGAAAUAGGAGGUAUCAGAAACUUGACUCAGAAACAGGCAGGACUGACUAUUAAACAUUCCUGGAUGCAAUGUGUACAAGGAAGGGAAAAAGGGCGGAAUGACAGCAGUGCUGAUGAAGAGAAUAUUACAAUGUUGAGAGAAAGGGUGGCACAGAAGGGAGUCGAAGGCGUCACCUGGUUAGAACUAAAGACAAUGGCAAAUCGACUGAUGUUGUGUACUUGGAUUUUCAGAAGGCUUUUGACAAGGUGUCACACACAAGGCUGCUUAACAAGCUACGAACCUAUGGUAUUACAGGAAAGGUUCUAGCAUGGAUAAAGCAAUGGCUGAUUGGCAGGAAGCAAAGAGUGGGAAUAAAGCGAGCCCUUUCUUGUUGGCUGCUGGUGACUAGUGGUGUUCCACAGGGGUCUGUGUCGAGACUGAUUCUAUUUAUGUUAUAUAUCAACGAUUUGGAUGAUGGAAUUGAUGGUUCUGUUGCAAAGCUUGCAGACAAUAUGAAGACAGGUGGAGGGGCAGGUAGUUUUAAGGAAGUAGGGAGACCACAGAAGGACUUAGACAAAUUAGCAGAGUGGGCAAAUAAAUGGCAGAUGGAAUACAAUGUUAGGAAGUGUAUGAUCAUGCAACUUGUUAGAAGAAAUGAAAGGGUUGACUACUUUCUAAAUGGAGAAAAAAGACAAAAAGCUGAGGUGCAGGGACUUGGGAGUCCUUGUGCAGGAUUCCCUAAAGGUUAACUUUCAGGCUGAGUCUGUGGUGAGGAAGGCAAAUGAGAUGUUAGCAUUCAUUUCAAGAGGACUAAAAUAUAAAAGCAAGAAUGUACUGUUGCAAUUUUAUAAAGCAUUGGUGAGUCCUCACUUGGAGUAUUGUGAGCAGGUUUGAGCUCCUUUUCUUAGAAGGGUUGUGCUGAAACUGGAAAGGGUUCAAAGGAGAUUCUCAAAAAUAAUUUCAAGAUUGAAUGCCUAUUCAUAUGGGCCUCUUCACUAGACUUCAGCAGAAUGAGGGGUGACCUCUUUGAAACCUAUCAAAUGGUGAAAGGCCUAGAUUGAGUGGAUGUGGAGAGGAUGUUUCCUAUAUUGGAAGAGUCUAAGACAACAGGACACAGCUAUAGAAGAGAGGGUCAUCCUUUUAGAACAGAGAUGAAGAGGAAUUUCUUUAGUGAAUCUGUGGAAUUCUUUGCCCCAGGCACCUGUGGAGGCUGUCUUUAUAAUAUUUAAGGCAGAGAUUGAUAAAUUCUUGAUUGGUCGGGGCAUGAUGGGAUAUGGGUGGAAGGCAGGAGAUUGGGGCUGAGAGAAAAAUUGGAUCAGCUAUGAUGAAAUGGUAGAGCAGACUUGAUGGGCCAAAUGUCCUAAUUCUGCUCCUUUAUCUUAUGGUCUUAUUAGGUCCAGAAGGUAACUAAUAGCAGGAAUUUGUAGGGCAUAGUAGAUGUAUGAAGGAAUAGAAAUAAUCAGAUAUCUCUUUCAAAGGGCUGGCAUGUGUAUGAUGAGAUGAACAGGCUCUCCUAUGCUGAAUAAGUCUGCAUUGGAUAAAAUAAUUUAAUUUGUUUCUCAUUUCUCCGGAUCACUCCAUCAUAUUAUUCUAAGGCUGCUUCAGUUCUCUCUCCACAUCUCUAAGAGUCAGAGCAAAUUACAGUGUAAAAAAAACUCCUCUGUUCUGCAUGAAUAUAUUUGGAUAUAGUUAAGGAUACUCACCUGCUCAUUCCAAGUAUUCUCGCCUUGUAACUCAUCCUUUUUAUGGGAACUGGAUUUUGAUGGAUCACCUUUUCACUUCAUUCACCCUAACACUGAGCUGAUUCCACAUCCUAUGUACCCACUUUGAAGGAGUCUACAACUCGUGUUUUCAGUAUUUAUUGCUUGCUUGCUUGUUUGUUGGUUUAAUUUAUUUA
Hypanus sabinus (Atlantic stingray) is the source of this 3056-nucleotide long non-coding RNA. RefSeq lists it as uncharacterized. The record is from RefSeq and is a predicted model, not a curated record. The transcript has 4 exons. Lineage: Eukaryota; Metazoa; Chordata; Chondrichthyes; Myliobatiformes; Dasyatidae.